GGGGUUGUGGCUCAGUGGUAGAGCACUUGCCUAGCAUGUAAGAGACCUGGGUUCUAUCCUUAGCACCA
RNAcentral lists this transfer RNA (68 nucleotides) under Urocitellus parryii (Arctic ground squirrel). RNAcentral's name for it is "Spermophilus parryii (Arctic ground squirrel) tRNA". It matches the Rfam family "tRNA". Rfam says of the family: Transfer RNA (tRNA) molecules are approximately 80 nucleotides in length. Lineage: Eukaryota; Metazoa; Chordata; Mammalia; Rodentia; Sciuridae. The record is from Rfam by way of RNAcentral. RNAcentral also lists the same sequence under 2 other names.